CGGAAUUACUGGGCGUAAAGAGCUCGUAGGUGGUUUGUCGCGUUGUUCGUGAAAUCUCACGGCUUAACUGUGAGCGUGCGGGCGAUACGGGCAGACUUGAGUACUGCAGGGGAGACUGGAAUUCCUGGUGUAGCGGUGGAAUGCGCAGAUAUCAGGAGGAACACCGGUGGCGAAGGCGGGUCUCUGGGCAGUAACUGACGCUGAGGAGCGAAAGCGUGGGGAGCGAACAGGAUUAGAUACCCUGGUAGUCCACGCCGUAAACGGUGGGUACUAGGUGUGGGUUUCCUUCCUUGGGAUCCGUGCCGUAGCUAACGCAUUAAGUACCCCGCCUGGGGAGUACGGCCGCAAGGCUAAAACUCAAAGAAAUUGACGGGGGCCCGCACAAGCGGCGGAGCAUGUGGAUUAAUUCGAUGCAACGCGAAGAACCUUACCUGGGUUUGACAUGCACAGGACGCCGGCAGAGAUGUCGGUUCCCUUGUGGCCUGUGUGCAGGUGGUGCAUGGCUGUCGUCAGCUCGUGUCGUGAGAUGUUGGGUUAAGUCCCGCAACGAGCGCAACCCUUGUCUCAUGUUGCCAGCGGGUAAUGCCGGGGACUCGUGAGAGACUGCCGGGGUCAACUCGGAGGAAGGUGGGGAUGACGUCAAGUCAUCAUGCCCCUCAUGUCCAGGGCUUCACACAUGCUACAAUGGCCGGUACAAAGGGCUGCGAUGCCGCGAGGUUAAGCGAAUCCUUUUAAAGCCGGUCUCAGUUCGGAUCGGGGUCUGCAACUCGACCCCGUGAAGUCGGAGUCGCUAGUAAUCGCAGAU
Molecule: ribosomal RNA, 805 nt
Filed under: uncultured Mycobacterium sp.
Lineage: Bacteria; Bacillati; Actinomycetota; Actinomycetes; Mycobacteriales; Mycobacteriaceae
Description: bacterial SSU rRNA
Rfam family: Bacterial small subunit ribosomal RNA
Source: RNAcentral